GCAAACUACCUUACCCCCUUGAAUCCACCUGGUUUUGGAAGCUAAGCAGGGUCAGCUGUGGUUAGUAUUUGGAUGGGAAACUCUAAGAGAACAGCAAGAAUCUCUGCC
RNAcentral lists this ribosomal RNA (108 nucleotides) under Pogona vitticeps (central bearded dragon). The record is from RNAcentral. Lineage: Eukaryota; Metazoa; Chordata; Lepidosauria; Squamata; Agamidae.